This is a long non-coding RNA of Paramisgurnus dabryanus, 688 nucleotides long. RefSeq lists it as uncharacterized. NCBI's taxonomy places the organism in Eukaryota, Metazoa, Chordata, Actinopteri, Cypriniformes, Cobitidae. The record is from RefSeq and is a predicted model, not a curated record.
CUUUCUCUAGUAGUGACGUGAUUACAGGAAGCCAGCAGACGGUGGAGGCAGAAAUGCAAAACAAUGGAGAUCAAUCGUCGUGAGACAUCUUCGUACUUUUUACCGAAACAGGAAUUUAAAAGAUCUUGGUUGGAAGAAAGUGAGUGAGGAGGAUCGAACAAUCUGCCGACUGGUUCUUUUGAUGGUGGUGAGCCUGUGUCCCCUAUGAACCUGCUGCUGCUUCUGCUUCCCAUGCCGACCCAUCAACAUCUGCAGCUGUCCCCGCAGCGCCACCAAGAUGAAGAGCUCAGAGAAGGCCUAGAUAGCAGCCAUCAGUGGUGAAGUGGCAGCCUCCUAGAAGCACUCCGGAGUCCGGACCAGUCCUGUAGAUCCAGCACCGCCUCCACGCUCAGAGGAUGAGCUCUUCCUCUUGAGUCUGGUCCCUUACCUGCAGAGGUUGCUACCUCAGAUGAAAAAAAUUGUUAAAUUUAAAGUUCACAAAUUAAUUUAUUAAAGCAGCAUAGUUGUGCUUAAUGUGGAGCCUACAAUGUAGUUUUAAAAAAGAGGCAGCAAUCUCUGCAGGUAAUGAACCAGACUUUCUCUCCUCUCCUUCACUUUGGCUCUCCCCCUUCCAAGCAAGAUCCUUUCUUAUUCCUCUAUGUAAAUAGUUGUAAAGGUUCUUUGUAUAUAUAUUGAUAUAUUUUGUAUA